Molecule: small nucleolar RNA, 113 nt
Organism: Perognathus longimembris pacificus (Pacific pocket mouse)
Lineage: Eukaryota; Metazoa; Chordata; Mammalia; Rodentia; Heteromyidae
Product: small nucleolar RNA SNORA69
Exons: 1
Source: RefSeq, a predicted model, not a curated record
AAAGUAGGCUGCAAUCACAGUGCUUCCUUUUGUGGAAGUACUUCCAUUAUCCUGCUGUAAGAAAAACCAUGUUGAUUGUUUGUUUUUGCCAUAUUCCCAGGCCAUGGCCUUUU